This 1020-nucleotide long non-coding RNA is filed under the name Homo sapiens (human). RNAcentral describes it as "MIR646 host gene". Lineage: Eukaryota; Metazoa; Chordata; Mammalia; Primates; Hominidae. The record is from RNAcentral.
GGGAAAGCCGAGGCCCGGUGCUGUAUUCUGCCGCCCAUUUUACCCGCGGGGAAGCUGAGGCCCAGUGCUGUUUAAUAUCUUACUCAUGUUCACUUGAUGAGAAAGUGACAGAUCUGAGACAAACCCAGUUCUAGAGGUUAUGACACCAGCCAUGGAAGAGCAGAGAGGCCAAUGAGGUGGGGAGGUUGGAAACAAAAGGCCUUCUCCACCCCAGCUUGACCAACCCAAAAGCUGGAAGGCAAGGAAGACCUAGAUCGACAGAAAAGAAAUGAGUCAACGAUGGUGCAGGUGAUCUGUGCAGUGCUGUGCAGGGGAUGGGUCAAAGCUGUGAUGCUGGCAUGCAACUAACUCACCAUUAAAGGGACCAGCUUGACGAAGCUUCUGCUUUUGUGACUGUCUCCUAAUGGAUCUGGGGGUUUCUUCAAGCUCCCAGACUUGCUCAGGCACAUUGCAAAUAGCCAUGAUUUGAGAUGAUUUUCUUUAAUGCUGAAGCAGAUGAAGAACCCAGGUUCUUUUUAGUGGCAAGGCUUGUUUAUCAGCAGCUAUACAGCUAUGGGCACAGACACAGGUAAACAGCACAGAUGCUGGGAGAGGGCUGGCAUCUGACCGUGACCAUCACGCCCAUGUGACAAAGGAUGUCACCACAGUGAACAGUUCUGACCACAGUGGCUUUUCACCUGCUUCGUUAAAUUUAACUCACACCGGCUCAGAGGACAAUUUGAUUCAUUCUGUAUCUCAGCAGAAACCAGAGCACCUCAGAAGAUCAAGGCUUCCAAAUUCUCCUGGGGGAACAGACGUCAGCCAUUCAGCACAAAGGAAACUUCCUUCUCUGUAUGUCAGAGGAAGACAUAAUUGUGCCAUUUCCUUCUUGAAGAAGUUUACAAACAUUUGCAAGUUGUCAAAAAUAAUUAGUCUAAAAUUGUUUCAUAAACCGUGGAAUGAAACAGGACGUGCCUUGUUGAGAUCAAAGGGCUUCUGUUACCUUCUUGUAAACUCAAAUGAAAUUCUUUUGAAAGUAAA